UACGUAGGGAGCAAGCGUUGUUCGGAAUUACUGGGCGUAAAGGGCUCGUAGGCGGCCAACUAAGUCGGAUGUGAAAUCCCCAGGCUUAACCUGGGAACUGCAUCCGAUACUGGAUGGCUUGAAUUCGGGAGAGGGAUGCAGAAUUCCAGGUGUAGCGGUGAAAUGCGUAGAUAUCUGGAGGAAUACCGGUGGCGAAGGCGGCAUCCUGGACCGAGAUUGACGCUGAUGAGCGAAAGCUAGGGGAGCAAACGGG
Molecule: ribosomal RNA, 253 nt
Filed under: uncultured bacterium
Lineage: Bacteria
Description: partial 16S ribosomal RNA
Rfam family: Bacterial small subunit ribosomal RNA
Source: RNAcentral